Molecule: ribosomal RNA, 375 nt
Filed under: uncultured organism
Description: partial 16S ribosomal RNA
Rfam family: Bacterial small subunit ribosomal RNA
Source: RNAcentral
GUAGGUGGCAAGCGUUGUCCGGAAUUAUUGGGCGUAAAGCGCGCGCAGGCGGUCCUUUAAGUCUGAUGUGAAAGCCCACGGCUCAACCGUGGAGGGUCAUUGGAAACUGGGGGACUUGAGUACAGAAGAGGAAAGCGGAAUUCCAAGUGUAGCGGUGAAAUGCGUAGAGAUUUGGAGGAACACCAGUGGCGAAGGCGGCCUCCUGGUCUGUAACUGACGCUGAGGCGCGAAAGCGUGGGGAGCAAACAGGAUUAGAUACCCUGGUAGUCCACGCCGUAAACGAUGAGUGCUAAGUGUUAGGGGGUUUCCCGCCCCCCUUAGUGUUGCAGCUAACGCAUUAAGCACUCCGCCUGGGGGGGUACGGCCGCAAGGCUG